UGCUUCGGUCUCGUCUCCCAAUGGGAGGGUGAACGCUCUCUCUCUUCCCGGGCCAGUCGGUCGUCCAGGCGGGGUGAGCCGAUGGUCCUCCAGGCGGGUUGAGCCGAGCGCCGAUGGUCCUCCAGGCGGGGGUUUAGGAGCCGUUGCUGUGGACGGAGAGACACGGACGUGAGCGGC
This is a long non-coding RNA of Amblyraja radiata (thorny skate), 177 nucleotides long. RefSeq lists it as uncharacterized. The record is from RefSeq and is a predicted model, not a curated record. The transcript has 3 exons. NCBI's taxonomy places the organism in Eukaryota, Metazoa, Chordata, Chondrichthyes, Rajiformes, Rajidae.